UUGCUUUGGUAGCACAUAUACUAAAACUGGAACAAUAAAGACACGAAUAUGGCCCCUGUGCAAGGAUGACAUGCAAAUUUGUGAAAUGUGUCAUAUUUUU
Small nuclear RNA from Macaca fascicularis (crab-eating macaque), 100 nucleotides. Lineage: Eukaryota; Metazoa; Chordata; Mammalia; Primates; Cercopithecidae. The record is from Ensembl.